GAAGCCCAGCGCAUAACCUCCCGGGCUACCAAGCCUGCGGCGGCAUGUUGCGUAAAGGGAAAGGUCGUUGUUAAGCCCUGCACAGCGUGUACCUAAGUUUGGCUUGAUGUUGUCGCGGUUCCUAACGGAGCUACGGUACCACAGAGGGUGACAGUCCCGUCUGGCCACGUGAUACAUGUGCAUGGGUUCGGCCUCAUUCCCUGAGAGUCGCGUUGCUUGAGCAUGCAGCGCAAAGCAGGACGUAAACUCGUCCUAAGGCUAAAUACAUCCACAAAACCGAUAGCUAACAAGUACCGUGAGGGAAAGUUGAAAAGCACUCUGAAGAGAGAGUCAAAAGACCGUGAAACCGCUCAGAGUAUAAGCCAAUGGUUUUCGGAAAGCUGGGUCCGCGGAACAAUGUUUGAUUCCUUCUUGGAGUUGGCGGAGUUUCGUAUCGUGUGUGUCAAGCGCUCUCCUUUGCUGUGUGGUACCUUUGCUGGUCAUCCUUCAUUGAGUUGUUUGGAUCUGUGGAAACUCACGGGCCUCUGACAGUGGUAACUGGGGCGGCUUCUUGAGGAGCUGCCCCUAGGCUGGGCUUGAGUGAGCGGGCAUUGAGGAGCACACUAACGAGUGGACUUAAAACAGCUCACCACAACUCUUUAUUGGGUCCCCCAUGCGAGGUGUGACUUGUGUGGGCAGUGCGCGUCCUGUGGGCCAAGCCUUUAUCAGCUUGCAAGCGUGGGUUUCCGGCCCACGUGCUCAUGGGCGGCCUGUCUCGAUCACCUAUUCCAGACGUGUGGCGGUAUGAUCCCUUUGAAGGUUGCUUUCUGACCAUCCAUAAGCUUGAAGCUUGUGCGGACUUCCGUAUGAGCAAGGUUAGCCUGUGCGUUGUCCUGUAAGUCGUUCCCUCUUUAUGGGGUGUUCGCUUUCUCGACCGGGAGAACCGUUGGUGGAGGAUGAAUGGUGACUAAUUCCGGGGCCAUUGGUCACGUCUCGAAACACGGGCCAAGGAGCAUAGCAUGUGCGCAAGUCUAAGGGUUCCACAAAACCUGGAGGCGAAGUGAAAGCAAGUUGGUGUGUCAGUCUGAGCUUGGGCACUCUGUGUUCUGGCAARGGCGGGCAGCCCGGGUGUUUAGUAAUUCCUGUUUCCCCUCGUGGGUCGCGGACGUAUGCUYUCCCCGGCUUAUACCGAGCUGAUCCACCGUUAGCAAGCGUCCUCGCGCAACGGUGGCGCAAGCUCCAGGCUCUCCAUCAUYGCUCCCGCAAGGGAGUGAGUGGGAGCACUGUGUAGCGUGCAUGCUAUGACCCGAAAGAUAGUGAACUAUGCUUGGCGA
Molecule: ribosomal RNA, 1313 nt
Filed under: Apherusa bispinosa
Lineage: Eukaryota; Metazoa; Arthropoda; Malacostraca; Amphipoda; Calliopiidae
Description: partial 28S ribosomal RNA
Rfam family: Eukaryotic large subunit ribosomal RNA
Source: RNAcentral